This 236-nucleotide ribosomal RNA is filed under the name uncultured bacterium. Its description in RNAcentral is "partial 16S ribosomal RNA". It matches the Rfam family "Bacterial small subunit ribosomal RNA", at positions 15 to 245 of the family's 1533-position model. The record is from RNAcentral.
GAUCAUGGCUCAGGAUGAACGCUAGCGACAGGCUUAACACAUGCAAGUCGAGGGGCAGCACGAUGUAGCAAUACAUUGGUGGCGACCGGCGCACGGGUGAGUAACGCGUAUGCAACCUACCUAUCAGAGGGGAAUAACCCGGCGAAAGUCGGACUAAUACCGCAUAAAACAGGGUUCCACAUGGAAAUAUUUGUUAAAGAAUUAUCGCUGAUAGAUGGGCGAUGCGUUCCAUUAGA